AACGAACGCUGGCGGCAUGCCUAACACAUGCAAGUCGAACGAGACCUUCGGGUCUAGUGGCGCAAGGGUGCGUAACGCGUGGGAACCUGCCCUUAGGUUCGGAAUAACUCCCCGAAAGGGGUGCUAAUACCGGAUAAUGUCUUCGGACCAAAGAUUUAUCGCCUUUGGAUGGGCCCGCGUUGGUUUAGCUAGUUGGUAGGGUAAAAGCCUACCAAGGCGACGAUCCAUAGCUGGUCUGAGAGGAUGAUCAGCCACACUGGGACUGAGACACGGCCCAGACUCCUACGGGAGGCAGCAGUGGGGAAUAUUGGACAAUGGGCGAAAGCCUGAUCCAGCAAUGCCGCGUGAGUGAUGAAGGCCUUAGGGUUGUAAAGCUCUUUUACCCGGGAUGAUAAUGACAGUACCGGGAGAAUAAGCUCCGGCUAACUCCGUG
RNAcentral lists this ribosomal RNA (433 nucleotides) under uncultured bacterium. RNAcentral's name for it is "partial 16S ribosomal RNA". It matches the Rfam family "Bacterial small subunit ribosomal RNA", at positions 29 to 507 of the family's 1533-position model. The record is from RNAcentral.